UCGAGGAGCUCACAGUCUAGUAUGUCUCAUCCCCUACUAGACUGAAGCUCCUUGAGG
This 57-nucleotide microRNA precursor is filed under the name Callithrix jacchus (white-tufted-ear marmoset). Its description in RNAcentral is "Cja-Mir-151_pre stem-loop". Lineage: Eukaryota; Metazoa; Chordata; Mammalia; Primates; Cebidae. RNAcentral also lists the same sequence under 5 other names. The record is from RNAcentral.